UAGAGUGAUGAGAAGAAUUUAGUACAUAUUUAAUCAGUCAUAAAACUGAUCAAACAAAGCUCCACUGUGGCCACAGUAGGUUUCAGGCAUCUGAAACAAAGAUGAAGAAAUGAGGCAGCUGAAAUCAUACAGGCAUGUGUACUACAUUGCUCUUGUGAAACUGUCCAGGGUGCCAAAGAGCCGAGACUGAUGGUGACAGUGCUGGUAAUAAUAUCAAUAAACAUAUAACUGCUGCAGGCCAUUGGGCAAAGAUAGCCUGAAAAAUGGCAAAAAGUCUUGUGGCAGACCUAAUACCUGUCACAUUGGCAGCUUUUGUGGUUGCUUUUCUGAAACUUUGUUAUUACAAUUGGUGAACUUCCCCACUGAACAGAGGAGGACAUAUAAGUCCGGGUUAGUAUACUUACCGUAGCAACUAACAAGAAGAUACUUUGCUUUCAGAUGUAAUGAUGUUAAAUUAAUUUGUUUUAUUCACAUGGGAACUGCCUUCAAUGCCAUUUUAUAGCUGCUCAAGCCAAUAUUCAGGCUUUGUUUUUCUUGGCCUUUGCUAAGAGUGCUGUGAACCUCCAGGCAGAACGAAGUAAGCGGUGCUGGGGUUUAUUUUCCCUUGCUUUCUUCUCUCUUCUUCAGUUCUCCCAUAUCCGCUGACAAUAGAAAUGGUUU
This is a long non-coding RNA of Passer domesticus (house sparrow), 660 nucleotides long. RefSeq lists it as uncharacterized. The record is from RefSeq and is a predicted model, not a curated record. Lineage: Eukaryota; Metazoa; Chordata; Aves; Passeriformes; Passeridae. The transcript has 3 exons.